AGGAGCUUAGGUUWAUACAUCCCCAAACCUAGGACCUUCAAAGUCCUCAAUAGGAGUGAAACCCCCCUAGCUCUUG
RNAcentral lists this transfer RNA (76 nucleotides) under Grandisonia alternans. RNAcentral describes it as "tRNA-Trp". The record is from RNAcentral. Lineage: Eukaryota; Metazoa; Chordata; Amphibia; Gymnophiona; Indotyphlidae.